AUGGCUCUCAAGCAGAAGGGGAGCGACGCCGCCGCCGCCGACACCAGCAAGCGCCGCCGCGUCGGCUUCGCCGGCAUCGAUGCUGGAACUGAAGCGAAUGAAUGCAUGCAAGUGUUUAUUGCAAGAAACCCUGACGAGGUGGGCUCAGCAGACAGCACUCCCAUCGAGCCAUUUGACCUAAACCAUUUCUUUGGUGAAGAUGGCAAGAUAUAUGGCUACACAAAUCUCAAGAUCAAUGUGUGGAUAAGUGCUAUAUCAUUUCAUGCAUAUGCCGAGAUUUCAUUCCAGGAAACAUCUGAUGGAGGGAAAGGGAUCACAGAUGUAAAGCCUGUCCUUCAGAACAUUUUCGGGGAAAACCUAGUAGAAAAAGAUGAAUUUCUGGAGGCAUUCUCAAAGGAAUGCCAGUGCAUCAGUGAUGUUGUGAAGAAUGGUAAUUCCAUUAAACAUGAUGCAUCAGAUGAAGAUGAUCUGUCAGUUCAGAUUGUUCGAGUUGAACUCCAAGGUGCUGCUGCAUACCUUUAUUCACGUUUGGUAUCACUUGUUCUGCUUCUGGUUGAAGGUUCCACACCUAUAGAUAUCACGGAACAUGGAUGGCAAAUGCUCCUUGUAGUGAAGAAGGCAGAGCUUGAGUCAUCUGCUUCAAAAUUUCAGUUGCUAGGCUUUGCAGCUGUCCACCAUUUUUAUCAUUACCCUGAGAGCACUCGCUUGCGUAUCAGUCAGAUACUGGUCUUACCACCUUAUCAGGGUGAAGGGCACGGCCGUCGUCUUCUUGAGGCAAUCAAUUCUAUUGCAGAAUCCGAGAACAUGUAUGACGUAACUAUCGAAGACCCUUCUGAUUACCUGCAGUAUGUACGUUCGUCCAUCGACUGUCUCCGUCUCCUCACCUUUGAGCCAAUCAAGCCUGCACUUGGUGCUAUGGUCUUGUCUCUAGAACAGACCAACCUGUCUAAAAGAACUCGCAGUUCGAUAAUGGUUCCGCCGGCUGACCUGGCCGAGACCGUGCGGCAGAAGCUGAAGAUCAACAAGAAGCAGUUCCUGCGGUGCUGGGAAAUUCUGAUCUAUCUACACCUUGACGCCGAAAACCUCAAGUGCAUCGACAACUUCAGGGCCUGCAUCUACGACCGCACCAAAGGUGAGCUGCUCGGUGGCGCCUCUGGAACCAACGGGAAGCGGCUUGUCCAAGUGCCCACUAGUUUCGAUGAGGACACGUCAUUUGCUGUGUUCUGGACAAAGGAGGGCGGGGACGAAGAUAAUCAGACAGUCCAGCAGCAGCCGGAAGAUCUCGCCACUCAGGAGCAGCAGCUAAAUGAAUUGGUGGACAAUCAAAUGGAAGAGAUUGCUGAGGUCGCCAAGAACGUUGCCUCACGCGUUAAGGAUAAAUUGGCUGCUUGA
Molecule: ribosomal RNA, 1392 nt
Filed under: Triticum aestivum (bread wheat)
Lineage: Eukaryota; Viridiplantae; Streptophyta; Magnoliopsida; Poales; Poaceae
Description: partial small subunit ribosomal RNA
Source: RNAcentral